RNAcentral lists this long non-coding RNA (564 nucleotides) under Oryza brachyantha (malo sina). RNAcentral describes it as "long non-coding RNA (OBRA_LNC002327)". Lineage: Eukaryota; Viridiplantae; Streptophyta; Magnoliopsida; Poales; Poaceae. The record is from RNAcentral.
UCAAAGUUUUAAAAGUUUGAUAACAGCCUUAUUCAAAAUGACAUUAAUUAUAUAUCAAACUAGAGGAGUACAUAUCAUAAACGUCCAUACUGUGCUCUAAACAGGGCUGGCCCUGGGCCCCCAAAUCCCGGGGGGAACCAGAUAUGUAAAUGCAUGUACUGCAUAUAUGUGAAGCAGCACUAGCUUGCUAAAUGUUGAUGCUUGCUGCUAGUCCCAUGCAUGAUGCAUGUCAAGGGCAGUUCAUGAUGCCAAAACUAGGUCCUGAUCCAAACCGUGAUUCUGUGAAUGGAGUAUGUUAUUUUUUUCAUCAAUUCCUUCCACUAGGGGUGUAAGUGGGCCGGCCCGCCAACCCGCUUAUAGGUCAAUUAAACGGGUAACCCGGUGGACAACCCGCUUAAUUGGCCUAUAAUCGGGUUGGCGGGCUGGCCCACUUACACCCUUACCUUCCACCGUCCACCUGUCUUUCAUAUAUUCCUUCCACGAGGGGUGUAAGUGGGCCGGCCCGCCAACCCGCUUAUAGGUCAAUUAAACGGGUAACCCGGUGGACAACCCGCUUAAUUGGCC